UCGACAAUACCUGAUCCGAACCCGACCCGAAGACCCGGAUGCCCAGGCCUAGUUUGCCUUUCUAGAGAAUUCAAUCUUCUCAGCUGUAGUAGAGAUGGCGGGUCGGGGUAAACAACUCGGAUCUGGCGCGGCGAAGAAUCCCCGUUGGUCGUAUCGCCCGAUUCCUCAAGGCCGGAAAGUACGCCGAGCGCGUUGGAGCAGGAGCUCCGGUUUAUCUCGCCGCCGUUCUUGAAUACCUCGCCGCCGAGGUACUUGAGCUUGCCGGGAACGCAGCACGAGAUAACAAGAAGACUCGGAUUGUGCCUCGACAUAUUCAGCUUGCUGUGAGGAACGACGAGGAGCUAAGCAAGCUACUUGGAGAUGUGACGAUUGCUAAUGGAGGAGUGAUGCCUAACAUCCACAAUCUCCUUCUCCCCAACAAGAAGGCCGGUUCCUCUAAGCCUACCGAUGAAGAAGAUUAGGAGAUCCUAUGUGACAAAGAAGGUAACGCUGGAAAAUGGUUUGAUGUGAGAGCGAACAAGUAGUAGAGGACGGUUACACAACAGCUGUGUGGAUCUAGUUGUAGUUGCAUAUGAUAUUUUGUUUCUGUUGUGUGAAUAUAUGAAGAACCUUUCUUCUCUUUGUUUCAGACUCUACAUGCUUUAGGGGUUCGUACUGUAAUAAUACUCCACUUUGUUGACUUAUUGCAGUGUCUUGAUGUUUAUCCUUUUAAGCACCAAA
Molecule: RNA transcript, 720 nt
Organism: Brassica oleracea var. oleracea
Lineage: Eukaryota; Viridiplantae; Streptophyta; Magnoliopsida; Brassicales; Brassicaceae
Gene name: probable histone H2A.3
Exons: 2
Source: RefSeq, a predicted model, not a curated record